AAUCAACGCUGGCGGCGUGCCUCAGACAUGCAAGUCGAACGAUUAAAGCUCUCUUCGGAGAGUGUAUAGAGUGGCGCACGGGUGAGUAACACGUAAGUAAUCUACCUUUGAGUGGGGAAUAACAGUCGGAAACGACUGCUAAUACCGCAUAAUGCAGCGGCAUCGCAAGAUGACAGUUGUUAAAGGAGCAAUCCGCUUAAAGAGGAGCUUGCGGCAGAUUAGCUAGUUGGUAAGGUAAUGGCUUACCAAGGCUACGAUCUGUAUCCGGUCUAAGAGGACGGUCGGACACACUGACACUGAAUAACGGGUCAGACUCCUACGGAGGCAGCAGUCGGGAAUUUUGGGCAAUGGGCGAAAGCCUGACCCAGCAACGCCGCGUGAAGGAUGAAGUAUUUCGGUAUGUAAACUUCGAAAGAAUGGGAAGAAUAAAUGACGGUACCAUUUAUAAGGUCCGGCUAAC
RNAcentral lists this ribosomal RNA (460 nucleotides) under uncultured bacterium. RNAcentral's name for it is "bacterial SSU rRNA". It matches the Rfam family "Bacterial small subunit ribosomal RNA", at positions 32 to 501 of the family's 1533-position model. The record is from RNAcentral.